Molecule: ribosomal RNA, 399 nt
Filed under: uncultured bacterium
Lineage: Bacteria
Description: bacterial SSU rRNA
Rfam family: Bacterial small subunit ribosomal RNA
Source: RNAcentral
AUUGAACGCUGGCGGCAUGCCUUACACAUGCAAGUCGAACGGCAGCACGGGAGCUUGCUCCUGGUGGCGAGUGGCGAACGGGUGAGUAAAGUAUCGGAACAUGCCCUGAAGUGGGGGAUAACGUAGCGAAAGUUACGCUAAUACCGCAUAUUCUGUGAGCAGGAAAGCAGGGGAUCGCAAGACCUUGCGCUUUAGGAGUGGCCGAUAUCGGAUUAGCUAGUUGGUGAGGUAAAGGCUCACCAAGGCGACGAUCCGUAGCGGGUCUGAGAGGAUGAUCCGCCACACUGGGACUGAGACACGGCCCAGACUCCUACGGGAGGCAGCAGUGGGGAAUUUUGGACAAUGGGCGCAAGCCUGAUCCAGCCAUGCCGCGUGAGUGAAGAAGGCCUCGGUUGUAAG